CAGUCGCCGCGGUAAUACAGAGGAUGCAAGCGCUAUCCGGAAUGAUUGGGCGUAAAGCGUCUGUAGGUGGCUUUUCAAGUCCGCCGUCAAAUCCCAGGGCUCAACCCUGGACAGGCGGUGGAAACUACCAAGCUGGAGUACGGUAGGGGCAGAGGGAAUUUCCGGUGUAGCGGUGAAAUGCGUAGAUAUCGGAAGGAACACCUGUGGCGAAAGCGGCUCACUGGACAUUUACUGACGCUGAUGCACGAAGGCUAGGGGAGCAAACAGGAUUAGAUACCCCCGUAGUCCCUGUCUCUUAUAA
RNAcentral lists this ribosomal RNA (301 nucleotides) under uncultured bacterium. Its description in RNAcentral is "partial 16S ribosomal RNA". It matches the Rfam family "Bacterial small subunit ribosomal RNA", at positions 509 to 809 of the family's 1533-position model. The record is from RNAcentral.